This is a long non-coding RNA of Sorghum bicolor (sorghum), 1793 nucleotides long. RefSeq lists it as uncharacterized. The record is from RefSeq and is a predicted model, not a curated record. Lineage: Eukaryota; Viridiplantae; Streptophyta; Magnoliopsida; Poales; Poaceae. The transcript has 7 exons.
AUGUCCGUGAGGUCUUCCAGGAACCUAUCCACCUAUCCACCUUUCCUAUUGACUCUUUCCCCUUUUCCUCUUUCUCUGUUCAGCAGCGCAGCUUUAGACUGGGCAGCAGCGCACAUGCUGGUGGCUGAGAUUUGAGGUGUGUGCAAGCGUCCUCAAGAAGAAUCGCAUGCGGACAACCGGCUAGAUGUGGCUCAGUGCGGCUGAGACCGUGAUGGUUCGCAUGCGGGCGACCUGGUGGUUGUUCAAGGGGCGAAGGUCGUGCGCGUUCAGAUGACGGCAGCUGCUCGCGUUCAGGCGGCGGAGGAUCACAUGUAGGCAACAAAUCCAUGGUGUCCAUAAAAGUUUGUCGAUUUAAUUUUACAAUGGUGGAGUGUUAGGCUUGUGAUCAACCAGUCAGUUUGGAUCCUGUGGAGUGGAGUUAAUACCUGAAGUUGGAGUUAUCUUCUAUUAUAUGCUGCCUAAGGUCGAUAACCCAGCACCGACAGUUAGCAAGAGUGGAAGGCCGAUCGAACUCCUUCCGUCAGGCCCAAUCUCUCUGAUCGGCCAUAAUGCACCAAGCCUAGCGGUACUGAUGCAUCGGAACGUGCGCUUUAAGAAGACUACCAAGUGAUCGAAAGUAUCCCCACCGGUUGUUGCUGCCACCCUAGCACAAGCCUUCAAGGGCACAUCGAUUGCAACAGGAACUUCAUCGCAAACUGGCAAAUCGGCUAAGACCAGAAGCACUCAAACGUCAAGUGCCGAUGCCCCCCAGCCCAGUCAAGCUAAGAGAAAAGGCCCCAAAAACACCAAGUCGCAACCGAAGCGCCAGAGGACAGCACCAUCUUCUCCUCCUCGUCCAACAUCACCGAUCCAUGUAGCAUCAUCCCUUUCUUCACCGAAGGCCCAGACACAAGAAGCACUUUCUCCUCCCCGACAAGUACCCCAGUAGCAAGAAGCACCGGCCGAUGUUGCUGAACAGGUUGUCGAUCCGGCUGAUCUGAGUACAUCAUCGGCCAUCCUUCCAGAACAAACGAUCACCAUACCUCAUCAAGUUGAAGUCAUUCCAUCGGCAACUCUAGCCGAUCAACCCAUAGUACCAGCUGCAUCUCCUCGCCAGAUACGGGAAAUCACCCUGAAGCAAGAACAAGACUCCCCAGACAGUCUGUUCUCAUUUGCCAUUGAAAUCUCCGAUGAUGAAGGCGAAGAAGCGAGUUCUUCUCAAGCAAUUGGGAUCUGAUCGGUAGAAAUCAAAGCUAAAUUGGAGGAUUUAUUGGCUCUGCUGCACCAAGAUACCGCCCAGCUGGUAGAUGAUUCCGAUCCAGCCAAGGCUUUAUUCAAGACUCUUCGUGGUCAGAUCCCAGCCAAUGUAGAAGAAGUCCUUUUCUAGGCUGCCCACUUAGAGAGCCGUCUGAGUGAUAAACCUUUGAUGCGUCGGCAGUGGAUCCACCGAUGCGUUAGGCAUCUGGAAUGUCGGCAUUUGAAAAUUUCUAGUAAGAGGUCUCGCAGUAGUGGUUGUAGAAUACUGGGGAUUCAGAGUCAUCGGUGACACUGGAGGUGCCGAUGUCAUAGGAGCCUUGCCUAUCACGUCAGCCACUUGAGAUGUCCUAGAACUAUUUGCAACAAAGUCUGGGGGCAUACCAUAUCCCCACCAGUUGGGAGGAACCUGAUAAUUUUGGAAUACAGAUCCUGACAUUGCCGAUGCCAAUAGAUCUAUAGCAAGUUGAAUUUGUCCUUCUGAUGUUCUUGGAUUAGUCCUCAUCGGUGUAGAUUGCCCAUUAGUCAUCCCUAAUGUGCUUAGAGGAGAAGUAACUUUU